RNAcentral lists this long non-coding RNA (1386 nucleotides) under Callithrix jacchus (white-tufted-ear marmoset). RNAcentral's name for it is "lncRNA (ENSCJAG00000084789.1)". Lineage: Eukaryota; Metazoa; Chordata; Mammalia; Primates; Cebidae. The record is from RNAcentral.
AUGCCAAGAAAUACAUUAGCAGGGACGCUGGAGGACAUCCGGGAGCCGCCUGCCCACCUUCCUGUCAUCCGCUCCUCCCUCCCUCCCUCCUUUCCCUCUCUUUCUGCCUCCUCCUCUUCCUCCCUCCCUCCUUUUCCCCUCUCUUCCUCCCUCCCUCUCUUCUUCCCUCCCUUCCUCCCCCCUCUCCCUCCCUCCCUUUUACCCUCCCUUCCUCCCUCCUUCCUUCCCUCUCUCUCUUCUUCCCUCCCUCCUUUCCCUCCCUCUUUUCCUCCCCUUCCUCCCUUCCUCCCUUCCUCCCUCUUUUCUUUCCCUCUUCCUACUUUCCUUCCCUCACCCCUUCUCCCCUUCCCUCCCUUCUACUUCUUUCCCCUUCCCUUUUCUUCUUUCUACCUUCCCUCUCUCUCUUCCUCCUUUUCUUCCUCCCUCCCUUCCUUCUUUCCUUCCCUCUUUCCUCCCUCCUUCCUUUCUCCCUCCCCCUGUCCUCUCCCUCCCUUUCUCUCUCCCUUUCUUCCUUCCACCCACCCUCCCUCUCUCCCCUCCUUUCUUCCAUCUACCUUCCCCCCUCCCUUUUUUCCUUCCUUCCUUUCUUCUUCCUCCCUCCCUCCUUUCCUCCCUCUCUUCCCUCCUUCCUUCUCCCUUCCUCUCUUCUUCCAUCCUUCCUUUCUUUUCUUCCACCCACUCUCCCUCCCUCCUUUCCUCUCUUUUUCCCUUUCUCCCUCCCUUCCUGCCUUCCACCUUCCUUCCUUUCUUCCUCCCUUCAUCCCUUCCUUCUGUCUCUCCCUUUCUUCUUUCCUCCAUCCCUUUUCCUCCCUCUCCUACCUUCCUUCCUCCCUCCCUCUUCUUCCUUCCUUAUUUCCUUUCUCCCUCCCUCUCUCCUUUCCUCCUCCCACCCCUUUUUUCUUCCUUCCCUCUCUUUUUUCCUUCUACCCACCCUCCUUUCUUUCAUUUACCUACCCUUCUUUCCUUCUUUCCUCCCUUCCUCUCUCCUUCCCUUUCUUCUUUCCUCCCUUGCUUCACCCACCCUCCCUCCCUCCUUUUCUUUUGUCUACUUUUUCUCUUUUCCCUUCUUCUUCCCUUCCUUCCACCUUCCCUCGCUCCCUUCCACCCACCCUUCCUUUCUUCCUCCCAUCUUCCCUCCUUCCCCCCUCCCUUCCUUCUUUCCCUUCCUUCCACCUUCCCUCUCUCUUCCUUCCACCUAUCCUCUCUUUCUUCCUUUCUUCCUUCCACCUUCCCUCUCUCCCUCCUUCUCCCUCCCUUCCUUCCCCCUCCCUUCCUUCCCCCUCCCUCCCCUGCCCUUCCCCUCCCCCCCUUCCCUUCCUUCCUUCCUUCCGUUUCUCUUUUUCUUUUUUUUCUUUCAACAAGGUCUUGCUCUGUCACCCAGAAUGA